UGUAUCUGAAGCCUGACGAAGAUGAGAACCUCCGGAGGGCAAGAGGUUCGACCCGAGCGAAGCGAGAGAACGUUGCUUCAGCAACGGCCCGCAGGGCGAGCCAUCCUCUAUCACCGGCAG
This 120-nucleotide small RNA is filed under the name Salmonella enterica. RNAcentral describes it as "RtT sRNA". It matches the Rfam family "RtT RNA". Rfam says of the family: This family represents a bacterial cis-regulatory element known as RtT RNA. The exact function of RtT is unknown although it is thought that it may be involved in changing the cellular response in relation to amino acid starvation. The record is from RNAcentral. Lineage: Bacteria; Pseudomonadati; Pseudomonadota; Gammaproteobacteria; Enterobacterales; Enterobacteriaceae.